AAAUUGACUCUAGUAGGGAGUCCUUUAAUGAACGACUCCCUAACGGAGUCAGAUUGA
RNAcentral lists this microRNA precursor (57 nucleotides) under Drosophila yakuba. RNAcentral's name for it is "Dya-Mir-929_pre stem-loop". It matches the Rfam family "mir-929 microRNA precursor family", at positions 8 to 67 of the family's 74-position model. Lineage: Eukaryota; Metazoa; Arthropoda; Insecta; Diptera; Drosophilidae. The record is from RNAcentral.